ACUUUAGAGAAAGACUCAGAAGAGGAAUAUGGGAGCCCAGAGAGCAAAUAUAGGACCCAAGAGGACUAAUAUGGAACUAUAGAGGAAGACUCAGAAGACGAAUAUGGCAGCCCCGGGGAAAGCGCAGAGGAAAAAUAUGGUACUUUAGAGGAAGACUCAGAAGAAGAUUCAGAGGAUGAAUAUGAGAGCCCAGAGGAAGAUUCCAUCUUAAAAAAAGAGGGUUUGAUUGAGCAUCAAGGAACAAAAGAAUUUAGUCUAAAAUACCAAAAAGAAGUAGAUCGGUUUUUUUUCAUUCUUCAAGAACUUCAUAUCUUGCCGAGAUCUUCAUCCCUAAAGAUACUUGACAAUAGUAUUAUUGGAGUGGAUACACAACUCACAAAAAAUACAAGAAGUCGACUAGGCGGACUGGUCCGAGUGAAGAGAAAAAAAGCCAUACGGAACUCAAAAUAUUUUUCGGAGAUAUUCAUUUUCCUGAAGAGGCGGAUAAGAUAUUAG
RNAcentral lists this ribosomal RNA (495 nucleotides) under Triticum aestivum (bread wheat). RNAcentral describes it as "partial small subunit ribosomal RNA". The record is from RNAcentral. Lineage: Eukaryota; Viridiplantae; Streptophyta; Magnoliopsida; Poales; Poaceae.